Molecule: ribosomal RNA, 468 nt
Filed under: uncultured bacterium
Lineage: Bacteria
Description: partial 16S ribosomal RNA
Rfam family: Bacterial small subunit ribosomal RNA
Source: RNAcentral
GACGAACGCUGGCGGCGUGCUUAACACAUGCAAGUCGAACGGAAAGGCCCUGCUUUUGUGGGGUGCUCGAGUGGCGAACGGGUGAGUAACACGUGAGUAACCUGCCCUUGACUUUGGGAUAACUUCAGGAAACUGGGGCUAAUACCGGAUAGGAGCUCCUGCUGCAUGGUGGGGGUUGGAAAGUUUCGGCGGUUGGGGAUGGACUCGCGGCUUAUCAGCUUGUUGGUGGGGUAGUGGCUUACCAAGGCUUUGCCGGGUAGCCGGCCUGAGAGGGUGACCGGCCACGUUGGGACUGAGAUACGGCCCAGACUCCUACGGGAGGCAGCAGUGGAGAAUAUUGCACAAUGGGCGGAAGCCUGAUGCAGCACCGCCGCGUGCGGGAUGACGGCCUUCGGGUUGUAAACCGCUUUCGCCUGUGACGAAGCGUGAGUGACGGUAAUGGGUAAAGAAGCACCGGCUAACUACGUG